Molecule: ribosomal RNA, 253 nt
Filed under: uncultured bacterium
Lineage: Bacteria
Description: partial 16S ribosomal RNA
Rfam family: Bacterial small subunit ribosomal RNA
Source: RNAcentral
UACGUAGGGGGCGAGCGUUGUCCGGAUUCAUUGGGCGUAAAGCGCGCGUAGGCGGCAGGGCAAGUCGGCCGUGAAAUCUCCCAGCUUAACUGGGAGGGGUCGGGCGAGACUGCCCCGCUAGAGGCGGGUAGAGGGCAGUGGAAUUCCGGGUGUAGUGGUGGAAUGCGUAGAGAUCCGGAGGAACACCAGUGGCGAAGGCGGCUGCCUGGUCCUGGCCUGACGCUGAGGCGCGAAAGCGUGGGGAGCAAACGGG